GACCACCUCUUAAUGUUUAGUAAUGUUCAUCCUGUGCUUAGUACUGUGCGGAAUUGUGUGACAAGGUGACCACAGUGAAGAAUCCAGUGCUCCAUCUUCUCCUUAUAUUUGCAGAGAUAAAGAAAACAUAAGACUGAAAAAGGCAGCAAUCUGAUUAUCUUAAAGGACUUACUGGACCAUUUAUGUGCUUCCUGUCUGCACAGGUCACAAGUGCUCAAAUUUUUCCCAGUUUACAUGCUUCUACGCAAAUAUGCAGAUAAGGGAAGAUCAAAGGAUUUUGCCUUGCACUUGAAACAGAAGCCUUACACGGGGCACUUGGAGUGCAGAGGGAGUAUGCCCUGGAUGCCAGCCAAAUGAAAGAAGACAGCUGAGAGGAAUUCCAGCUGUUAUGGGGAAUGAUGCUGCAGAAGGACUGCUUAGUUUGGAGCAUUUCUAUUCCAGUGGUGCAAUGUCAAGUAAAUCAACAGGUUUCAGCAAUCUGUAUUUGUUAGUCUAGCCCAGCAGUGACAGACAGAAAACUUGAUGCACAAGGGGUUAUUUAUACUUACAGACUGAUACUU
This 560-nucleotide long non-coding RNA is filed under the name Taeniopygia guttata (zebra finch). Its description in RNAcentral is "lncRNA (ENSTGUG00000021056.1)". Lineage: Eukaryota; Metazoa; Chordata; Aves; Passeriformes; Estrildidae. The record is from RNAcentral.